UGGAGUCUGAUGACCAAGGGCAGGAAGCAUCCAGCACGGGACAAAGAAGAAAGCCAGAAGACUCAGCAAGCCAGCUCAUCUCACUUUCUUCUGCCUACUUUGUUGUAGCUGAGCUGGCAGCCAGUUGGAUGGUGCACACUCACAUUGAGGAUUGGGAGGCUGCUGUGUAUGGAUAAGAUACCUGCUACAGCCAGCUUGACACCAUGAGAAGGACAAGAGAAUUGCAGAGACACAUAUCCAGGAUUCUGAUCCAGUUGAGGCACUGAAAUAAUCUAGAACCACCUUCAAAUUUCUUAUAAAGAGAGCUAUGCUAUUAGGAUUUAAUUAAAUGGAUGCCAACAGCAAGUAAACCAUCUCCAAAGAUGCCAUGAAGCUCUCCUAAUUGCAGGAAAAUAUCAGAGGCACUUGAUUUGAGUCUUUCAAGUACGGAAAUAACAAAUUCAGUCUCAACAGACCUAUAGUGAAUGAGAAUGAUUGUCACAUAAUGUGUAGAGAAAAUGGAAGAAUCAAAGGCAAGGGAAACCUGUACAGUGGAGACACAAAGGGUCACUGGCAGAUUUCAAAUGAUCCAAGACAUCCUCAAGGAAGAUUUACCACAAGUUACUUUAUCAUAGCUUUGAGUGGCAUUUUAAUAUCAUAUUUUAAAAGAAAGAAAACAAUAGAAAUGUAUUAAAAUAUCUUCUCAAGAAUCCUUCCAAACCACAAGGAAAAUCACCAGGCCAAAAGUGAGGUUUGAAGUCUGGACAUGUACUGGUUUUCUCUAGCAAUCGACUCUCAAUUUUUGGACAUUGAGAUCUGCUGGUUGGAGAUCUUAGUGCCCAAGGAAGAAUGCUUGCAAAAGGAGAUGGAACAGUGUUUCUGUUGCAUUGGCCACUGAGAAUAUCUGGUUAUUUUGAAUUUGUCACAGUCUGCAGCUAAAAGGCGAACAGGAAAAGAAGAGAUCACGAAUCAAGCUGAAAAAGUAAAGCAUUCUGUGAGUUGUGGAAUGGAAAUUGCCUCAACCAUCUCACCACUUGAUGACACUUGUAAUUUCAGUGACCCAAUUCAAGCAAUCAAACAUCAAGUAAUACUCUCAAUAAAGAUGUGUAAUUAAAACAGAAGAGGAAACAGACUAACAGAAGUGAUGAAGAAUGGCAGUUCUAAGGAUGGCAGGAAUUCACUGAAUGUCUAUCUAUCAUGUAUGCUGUUGGAGGCACCUGUCUUUCAGUUCAGAGGUUAUGGAUGUAUCUAUCAUCAGUAUUUCGGGAAGUCAGGGACCCGGAACAGAGGGACUUAAUGAAGCUGUGGCAGAAGAAAAAAUUAUGAAGAUUUCAUGGACAUUUAUUAGUUCCCCAAAUUAAUACUUUUAUAAUUUCUUACA
RNAcentral lists this long non-coding RNA (1360 nucleotides) under Homo sapiens (human). Its description in RNAcentral is "HSALNT0308608". Lineage: Eukaryota; Metazoa; Chordata; Mammalia; Primates; Hominidae. The record is from RNAcentral.